RNAcentral lists this ribosomal RNA (498 nucleotides) under Acinetobacter sp. IPPW-14. RNAcentral describes it as "bacterial SSU rRNA". It matches the Rfam family "Bacterial small subunit ribosomal RNA", at positions 46 to 538 of the family's 1533-position model. The record is from RNAcentral. Lineage: Bacteria; Pseudomonadati; Pseudomonadota; Gammaproteobacteria; Moraxellales; Moraxellaceae.
GCUUACACAUGCAAGUCGAGCGGAGCGAGGGUGCUUGCACCUUAGCUUAGCGGCGGACGGGUGAGUAAUGCUUAGGAAUCUGCCUAUUAGUGGGGGACAACAUUCCGAAAGGAAUGCUAAUACCGCAUACGCCCUACGGGGGAAAGCAGGGGAUCUUCGGACCUUGCGCUAAUAGAUGAGCCUAAGUCGGAUUAGCUAGUUGGUGGGGUAAAGGCCUACCAAGGCGACGAUCUGUAGCGGGUCUGAGAGGAUGAUCCGCCACACUGGGACUGAGACACGGCCCAGACUCCUACGGGAGGCAGCAGUGGGGAAUAUUGGACAAUGGGCGGAAGCCUGAUCCAGCCAUGCCGCGUGUGUGAAGAAGGCCUUUUGGUUGUAAAGCACUUUAAGCGAGGAGGAGGCUACUUAGAUUAAUACUCUAGGAUAGUGGACGUUACUCGCAGAAUAAGCACCGGCUAACUCUGUGCCACGCAGCCGCGGUAAUACAGAGGGUGCGAG